GCAUAACAGCAAAAAUUGAGAGGAAAGUGUGCACUGAGAUCAGUAGAUGAAAGACAUUUAAUGUCUUUUUUAGGUAUUUCUCAAGGGCCAGGAGCACCAGGCUGUGGCAUGUGCUUGUAAUCCCAAGACUCUGGGAGGCUCAGGCAGGAGGAUCAUGAAUUCAAGUCCAGCCUGAGAAACUCAACAACCUAGCCAGGACCUGCCUCAAAAAAUUUUUAAAAAGAGCUGGGGAUGUAGCUUAGCACAUUAAUUGGGUUUAAUACCCAGUGCUCCCCAAAAUAAAUGAAUAAAAUAAAAUAAAUUUAAAGGGUCUCCUUGUGAAGUUUUCAAGAAAUAUAGGUCCAUGCUAGUUCUUUAUUUUGCAGGAAUCAUUUCAGCAACCUUGGGAAAAUAAGAAGGUAUGAAAUUUCAGUGGGCAGACAAGCAGGGAGUGUGCUCCAAAGGAAAGCUGAUGAAACAAGGCCUGGGGUGACUGGAAUGAAACAAAUCCAUUCACAGGAUACGAUGAAGAACACCCAACUGAAUUGGAUCAGCAGAGCUCUGGGUGUGGCUGAGGAGAUUCACUGAAGAUAGAAGAUCCACACUGGCUGUGAGUGGUACCAACUCACAGGCUCCUCACGUGAAUGAAAUAAAAGGGAAAUGAAGAAGGAAGGCUCGCUUCUGUUUGUCUGGAGGAGUUCCAGUCUUCACCUCCACCUAGAACAUUGUGUCAUGUCUUCCUCCACAGACCUUUCAGCUUCCUGAUGUAGUCUCCUGGGUGAUACUACAGGACUUCGAUCUUUGACUAGAUCCUUUGGAUCUCCAGCAC
Molecule: long non-coding RNA, 808 nt
Filed under: Fukomys damarensis (Damara mole-rat)
Lineage: Eukaryota; Metazoa; Chordata; Mammalia; Rodentia; Bathyergidae
Description: lncRNA (ENSFDAG00000023121.1)
Source: RNAcentral